GGGUCAGUAGCUCAAUGGCAGAGCACUUGCCUUUUAAGCAAUGAGUUGUAGGUUCGAAUCCCACCUGACCCACCA
RNAcentral lists this transfer RNA (75 nucleotides) under Chloroflexota bacterium. RNAcentral's name for it is "Chloroflexi bacterium tRNA-Lys". It matches the Rfam family "tRNA". Rfam says of the family: Transfer RNA (tRNA) molecules are approximately 80 nucleotides in length. Their secondary structure includes four short double-helical elements and three loops (D, anti-codon, and T loops). RNAcentral also lists the same sequence under 1 other name. Lineage: Bacteria; Bacillati; Chloroflexota. The record is from RNAcentral.